UCGAGCGAGAAAGUUUCUUCGGGAACGAGUACAGCGGCGAACGGGUGAGUAACGCGUAAGAAUCUACCUUUUAGUGGGGAAUACCUUUGGGAAACUGGAGUUAAUACCGCAUAAUCCUUUCGAGGGAAAGACGGCCUCUUUGCUGUCGCUGAAAGAUGAGCUUGCGUACUAUUAGUUAGUUGGUGGGGUAAAGGCCUACCAAGACAGAGAUGGUUAGCCGGCCUGAGAGGGUGAUCGGCCACAUUGGGACUGAGAUACGGCCCAGACUCCUACGGGAGGCAGCAGUGGGGAAUAUUGCACAAUGGGCGCAAGCCUGAUGCAGCGACGUCGCGUGGAGGAUGAAGGAUUUAGGUUCGUAAACUCCUGUUAAAUGGGAAGAAAGAACGUAAGUUAAUAGCUUGCGGAGAUGACGGUACCAUUAGAGAAAGCACCGGCUAACUUCGUGCCAGCAGCCGCGGUAAUACGAGGGGUGCAAGCGUUAUUCGGAUUUACUGGGCGUAAAGGGCGCGUAGGCGGCUUUUUAAGUCAUCUGUUAAAGACCAUUACAUAAUGAUGGAAAGGCAGGUGAAACUGGAAGGCUUGAGGAUAGGAGAGAGAAGUGGAAUUCUUGGAGUAGCGGUAAAAUGCGUAGAUCUCAAGAGGAACACCGAUGGCGAAGGCAGCUUCUUGGCCUAUAUCUGACGCUGAGGCGCGAAAGCGUGGGGAGCAAACAGGAUUAGA
This 720-nucleotide ribosomal RNA is filed under the name uncultured bacterium. RNAcentral describes it as "bacterial SSU rRNA". It matches the Rfam family "Bacterial small subunit ribosomal RNA", at positions 62 to 782 of the family's 1533-position model. The record is from RNAcentral.